AAUAGAUACCCCGGUAGUCCACGCCGUAAACGAUGAGUGCUAAGUGUUAGAGGGUUUCCGCCCUUUAGUGCUGCAGCUAACGCAUUAAGCACUCCGCCUGGGGGAGUACGGUCGCAAGACUGAAACUCAAAGGAAUUGACGGGGGCCCGCACAAGCGGUGGAGCAUGUGGUUUAAUUCGAAGCAACGCGAAGAACCUUACCAGGUCUUGACAUCCUCUGACAACUCUAGAGAUAGAGCGUUCCCCUUCGGGGGACAGAGUGACAGGUGGUGCAUGGUUGUCGUCAGCUCGUGUCGUGAGAUGUUGGGUUAAGUCCCGCAACGAGCGCAACCCUUGAUCUUAGUUGCCAGCAUUCAGUUGGGCACUCUAAGGUGACUGCCGGUGACAAACCGGAGGAAGGUGGGGAUGACGUCAAAUCAUCAUGCCCCUUAUGACCUGGGCUACACACGUGCUACAAUGGAUGGUACAAAGGGCUGCAAGACCGCGAGGUCAAGCCAAUCCCAUAAAACCAUUCUCAGUUCGGAUUGUAGG
RNAcentral lists this ribosomal RNA (530 nucleotides) under uncultured bacterium. Its description in RNAcentral is "bacterial SSU rRNA". It matches the Rfam family "Bacterial small subunit ribosomal RNA", at positions 777 to 1304 of the family's 1533-position model. The record is from RNAcentral.